RNAcentral lists this non-coding RNA (25 nucleotides) under Mus musculus (house mouse). The record is from RNAcentral. Lineage: Eukaryota; Metazoa; Chordata; Mammalia; Rodentia; Muridae.
UUGGCCAAGAUGGGUGAGUGUUCAU